RNAcentral lists this ribosomal RNA (482 nucleotides) under uncultured bacterium. RNAcentral describes it as "bacterial SSU rRNA". It matches the Rfam family "Bacterial small subunit ribosomal RNA", at positions 30 to 507 of the family's 1533-position model. The record is from RNAcentral.
AUUGAACGCUGGCGGCAUGCUUUACACAUGCAAGUCGAACGGUAACAGCACUUCGGUGGCUGACGAGUGGCGAACGGGUGAGUAAUGUAUCGGAACGUGCCCAGUAGUGGGGGAUAACUACUCGAAAGAGUGGCUAAUACCGCAUGAGAUCUCUGGAUGAAAGCGGGGGACCGUAAGGCCUCGCGCUACUGGAGCGGCCGAUAUCAGAUUAGGUUGUUGGUGGGGUAAAGGCCUACCAAGCCUGCGAUCUGUAGCUGGUCUGAGAGGACGACCAGCCACACUGGGACUGAGACACGGCCCAGACUCCUACGGGAGGCAGCAGUGGGGAAUUUUGGGCAAUGGACGCAAGUCUGAUCCAGCAAUGCCGCGUGCAGGACGAAGGCCUUCGGGUUGUAAACUGCUUUUGUACGGAACGAAAAGCCUUCUUCUAAUACAGGAGGGUCAUGACGGUACCGUAAGAAUAAGCACCGGCUAACUACGUG